UACGAAGGGGGCUAGCGUUGCUCGGAAUCACUGGGCGUAAAGCGCACGUAGGCGGCUUUUUAAGUCAGGGGUGAAAUCCUGGAGCUCAACUCCAGAACUGCCUUUGAUACUGAGGAUCUUGAGUUCGGGAGAGGUGAGUGGAACUGCGAGUGUAGAGGUGAAAUUCGUAGAUAUUCGCAAGAACACCAGUGGCGAAGGCGGCUCACUGGCCCGAUACUGACGCUGAUGCACGAAAGCGUGGGGAGCAAACAGG
Molecule: ribosomal RNA, 253 nt
Filed under: uncultured bacterium
Lineage: Bacteria
Description: partial 16S ribosomal RNA
Rfam family: Bacterial small subunit ribosomal RNA
Source: RNAcentral